UAGAGACGCGGUGAAGUGAAAGCGCAUCGUGGCUUUUAAAAUGCAAAUGUAAACAGCAACCCAGACAGCAAUUUACACUCUUGACAUAGCUUCAACAUAUGCCAACAGUGAUGUUCGGCGUGGUGCAGUGGUAAGAUGCUUGCCUCGGAACCUUCAGGUCCAAAGUUCGAAUCCUAGGCAAAAAACACUUUUUUUUCUACUUUUAUUUUUUUAUUUUAUUUCGUUUUAAUAAUUUUAAAUAACCUUAAAAUGACCUCUGUCAAUUUUUAAUCAAAUAUUGAUCAGGAACUACAGAAUUUUCGACUACAGGGCGUCACACUACAGAGAACAGAACGACAGUCACAACGUCCCAAAAUACGACAGACUGAAAAUUUGCUGUUGUGUUUUUCAAGUGGGUGAGACGUCUAUACGGCGUAUACGCAGAUUGCUGUCCUCUCUAUUAAAAGCAACGUUGCUGAAACACGUCGUACAAGACGCUGUACGACUCGCAUAAAAUCGAAAUACAACGCCGUCACCAUCCAUGAGAUCACCGAAAGCACGGUCGCUUUCGGUGGCGGCCUACAGAUGGCAGCACAGGUAGCGCCGGUAAAGUUACAGGUGAUAUUAUUUUGCCGUCCUCAGUUGUCGCCACAUGUGAGUGCUUGCUGCAUUGACGCCGUCCGAUGUAGUUGUUUAAUCGUGUGUACGCUGUGCCGAGAGAAAUUGUGGUGCAUUUUGUAUGCAUUGAGAAUCACAAAACCCCUGGGACCGCGUAAUGUAGCCCGCAGUAUCCUUCCUGUGGUGCGCCGAUGUCGAAGAUAUGACCCUUCGCGCUUCCUUUGUUCCGGGCUCAUGAACAGGAUCUCCUCCUCUGGCACUGUCGCAUCGUAUCGCGCUGUACGGAAGAAUUUGGUGAAAGUUGUGCUCUUACGUCCUGUAGUUGAUCCGCAAUUCAACAGUGUGUGCGCCGGAAGGACCGUUGGUGCAGUCGAUGCCGCGGCACCUGUGACGCUAAAAGGAGCGUUUUCCGAGUACGCCUAGAAAGGGAUGGCAAGAUUUUGUGAACCAGAGGCACCUCCACAUAUGCACCUGCGGCAUUUCUGCAGCCUCAACAGCACGGAAAAGUACCUGAUGUGCAUGCUGUGACAAGCUGCUGUAGGUAUGGCUGGACCUGGAGAAGAAGUGUAAGCAGACCAUGCUAUGUUGCUGAUCUGCGCUGAUCUCCACAUCCAAGUUGGUCCCGCGACAGUUGGGCACCAUUGUGCCUUGCUUCAUUGACAAGGUGAUAUAAUAUGGUGCCCUGCUCGCUCUCACCCAAGCAACCCACUCCAGCGGUCUUCUCUUGGCAGACUGGAUGCAUCGAAAUACCGUUAGAAGGUCCAAUAAACAGUGCUUGGGACAUUUAUGACAUGCUUUUUUUUAAGCCGGAUGACUUCAGGCUUAAUGAAAGCUCAAGUUGGUGUACAGAAAUACCUA
Dermacentor andersoni is the source of this 1455-nucleotide long non-coding RNA. RefSeq lists it as uncharacterized. NCBI's taxonomy places the organism in Eukaryota, Metazoa, Arthropoda, Arachnida, Ixodida, Ixodidae. The record is from RefSeq and is a predicted model, not a curated record.